CUACGGAGGGUGCAAGCGUUACUCGGAAUCACUGGGCGUAAAGCGCGCGCAGGCGGCUAUUUAAGUUGGAUGUGAAAGCCUACGGCUCAACCGUAGAACUGCAUCCAAAACUAUUUAGCUAGAGUGUGGGAGAGGAAGAUGGAAUUAGUUGUGUAGGGGUAAAAUCCGUAGAGAUAACUAGGAAUACCAAAAGCGAAGGCGAUCUUCUGGAACACUACUGACGCUGAGGCGCGAAAGCGUGGGGAGCAAACGGGAUUAGAAACCCUUGUAGUCC
RNAcentral lists this ribosomal RNA (274 nucleotides) under uncultured bacterium. RNAcentral describes it as "partial 16S ribosomal RNA". It matches the Rfam family "Bacterial small subunit ribosomal RNA", at positions 523 to 796 of the family's 1533-position model. The record is from RNAcentral.